This 602-nucleotide long non-coding RNA is filed under the name Marmota monax (woodchuck). The record is from RNAcentral. Lineage: Eukaryota; Metazoa; Chordata; Mammalia; Rodentia; Sciuridae.
AUCAAACCCAGGGCCUCACACGCGCUAGGCGAGCACUCUACCGCUGAGCCACAACCCCAGCUCAAUAUUGAUUCAUUUUUAAUUGGUUCUUUUUACUUAGACAUAAAGGUGAAGCUCCCUGCGGUAUAUUCAUAUAUGCACAUAAGAUGACUUUCAAAGUAUUCAUUCUGCAUUUCCUCUCCUUUUUCUGACCCUCCACUCUGCAUCUUGAUUUCUUCUUCUCCUCAACCAUGUGUCUUUAGGUUAUCCUAUCCUUCCCUCCUUCUUUCCUUUAUUUUAUUCUAGCUUCCACCUAGGGGAGAAAACAUUUGAUCUUUGACUUUCUGGGUCUAGUUUAUUUUGCUUAGCCUGAUGUUGUCCAUUUCCAUCCAUUUACCAGAAAGUGCCUGGUAACUUCAUGGCUUAGAACUCCACUGUGUCUAUCAACCACAGUCUCUUAAUCCAUUCAUUUACUGAUGUGCAUCUGAGUCGAUUCCAUAGUUUAGCUAUCGUGAAUGGUGUGGCUGUAAACAUUGAGGUGGCUGUAUUGCAAGAGUAUGCUGAUUUUAGUUUUGGAAAAAUAUCAAGGAGUGGGGUGGCUGGGUCAUAUGGUGGUUCCAUUC